UACGGGAGGCAGCAGUGGGGAAUAUUGCACAAUGGGCGCAAGCCUGAUGCAGCCAUGCCGCGUGUAUGAAGAAGGCCUUCGGGUUGUAAAGUACUUUCAGUCGUGAGGAAGGUGUUAAGGUUAAUAACCUUAGCAAUUGACGUUAGCGACAGAAGAAGCACCGGCUAACUCCGUGCCAGCAGCCGCGGUAAUACGGAGGGUGCGAGCGUUAAUCGGAAUUACUGGGCGUAAAGGGCACGCAGGCGGUUAAUUAAGUUGGAUGUGAAAUCCCCGGGCUUAACCUGGGAAUGGCAUUCAAGACUGGUUAGCUAGAGUCUUGUAGAGGGGGUAGAAUUCCAUGUGUAGCGGUGAAAUGCGUAGAGAUGUGGAGGAAUACCGGUGGCGAAGGCGGCCCCUGGGACAAAGGACUGACGCUCAUGUGCGAAAGCGUGGGGAGCGAAACAGGGAUUAGA
This 452-nucleotide ribosomal RNA is filed under the name uncultured bacterium. RNAcentral's name for it is "bacterial SSU rRNA". It matches the Rfam family "Bacterial small subunit ribosomal RNA", at positions 340 to 782 of the family's 1533-position model. The record is from RNAcentral.